GAUGAAGAACGUAGCGAAAUGCGAUACGUAGUGUGAAUUGCAGAAUUCAGUGAAUCAUCGAAUCUUUGAACGCACAUUGCACCUCUCGGUAUUCCGGGAGGUAUGCCUGUUCGAGCGUCAUUUGUACCCUCAAGCUCUGCUUGGUGUUGGGUGUUUGUUCCGCCUCUGUGUGUGAACUCGCCUCAAAACAAUUGGCAGCCGGCGUACUUGUUUCGGAGCGCAGCACAUUUUGCGAUCCAGAUCAACGUACAGCGGCAUCCAAGAAGCCUUAUUUAACGCUCUUGACCUCGGAUCAGGUAGGGAUACCCACUGAACUUAAGCAUAUCAAUAAGCGGAGGA
This 339-nucleotide unclassified non-coding RNA is filed under the name soil metagenome. RNAcentral's name for it is "partial contains 5.8S ribosomal RNA, internal transcribed spacer 2, and large subunit ribosomal RNA". The stretch from base 1 to 120 matches the Rfam family "5.8S ribosomal RNA", at positions 35 to 154 of the family's 154-position model. The record is from RNAcentral.